UGCCAAGAACCAUGAGGAAAUUGUCUCCCCUUAUGGAUCUGGCCAAUUCAGCAACGAAGGAG
Non-coding RNA from Geobacteraceae bacterium GWC2_53_11, 62 nucleotides. The record is from Rfam. NCBI's taxonomy places the organism in Bacteria, Pseudomonadati, Thermodesulfobacteriota, Desulfuromonadia, Geobacterales, Geobacteraceae.